AUUGAACGCUGGCGGCAGGCCUAACACAUGCAAGUCGAGCGGAUGAAGGGAGCUUGCUCCUGGAUUCAGCGGCGGACGGGUGAGUAAUGCCUAGGAAUCUGCCUGGUAGUGGGGGAUAACGUCCGGAAACGGGCGCUAAUACCGCAUACGUCCUGAGGGAGAAAGUGGGGGAUCUUCGGACCUCACGCUAUCAGAUGAGCCUAGGUCGGAUUAGCUAGUUGGUGGGGUAAAGGCCUACCAAGGCGACGAUCCGUAACUGGUCUGAGAGGAUGAUCAGUCACACUGGAACUGAGACACGGUCCGGACUCCUACGGGAGGCAGCAGUGGGGAAUAUUGGACAAUGGGCGAAAGCCUGAUCCAGCCAUGCCGCGUGUGUGAAGAAGGUCUUCGGAUUGUAAAGCACUUUAAGUUGGGAGGAAGGGCAGUAAGUUAAUACCUUGCUGUUUUGACGUUACCAACAGAAUAAGCAUCGGCUAACUUCGUG
RNAcentral lists this ribosomal RNA (484 nucleotides) under uncultured bacterium. Its description in RNAcentral is "partial 16S ribosomal RNA". It matches the Rfam family "Bacterial small subunit ribosomal RNA", at positions 30 to 507 of the family's 1533-position model. The record is from RNAcentral.